UUUUUUGCAAAGGAAUUGAUUUUUUUCUUAAAGAGUAUUCAGUUGCAAUUUUAGGAAAGCAAAUUUCAAUACUUUGUGUAAUGGGGAAUAAAAGAAAUAGAGCAAAAAAGUAUGAUCUUUUAAGGGAUGAUUCAAAGAAUGGUCAUACAAAACGCAAUCAAGAGCAACCUAUUGAUGUUGAGGAAGAUCCCGUUGAUGUUGAAGAUGAUGUAAUUGAAGUAGCGGAAGAAAUUAGUACUAGUCAAGGUACAAAUUUUUCAAUUGUCAUGAGAAAUUUGAUGGAGAUGAAUGAGGAUUCUCUUUUCAGUCAAAUUUCAUUUGAACACAUGGUACUUGAGAGCACAAUUAAAUUGCAUUGCAAAAACGUGUGGGAGGAAUAUUUUGAAAAAAAAUCUAUGGUUAGGAGAGCACAAUUAUUUGUAAAGUUAUUCAGAAAAAGAGAAAUGACUCCUGUUUUGGAGUUGUUGGGUCUCGAUAAUAGCAAAAGCUCAGGAGGUCAUUUUAAAAGAAACAAUAGUUGAAAAUUUGCAAAUGCAAUGAACCUUGUUGACACCACAAGUCGAGGAGCUGAUUCAAGUGCUGCACGUAGAGCGUUGAUGACUACGAUUUCUAGUAGUAGGUUGUCACAUAAAAGACAAGUUACAACAAUUUUUGAAUUACUACAUAUAUCUAGAAAAACUGUUCAAAGAUAUAUUAGGAGGAGAAAUAUGUUAGAUGAAAACAUUGAAAUGAAUUGGGUAAAUAUUUGUAGACUUCCUCAAAAGGCAUAAUUUUUUUGAAGAUGUAAGAAGACUGAUCAUCGAAUAUUGGACCAGCCACUCCCGUGUUUCUUCCAAUAGAAGGGACACUAUACGGAUGAAAGAUGAAGAGACUCGUAUGAAGAUUUCACAUCCUAAACAUUUUGUAGAUACAACACAAAGUGAACUAUUUGAAGCAUUCAAGGAAGAAUUUUCAGAUGUGAAAAUAUGUUAGAGAAUAUUUGAGAGGUUGCGCCCUUGCUUUGUACACAUAAAUAAAGUACGCGAAACUUCUUGUUGUCGAAAUCAUGUUGAGUUUCAUCUAUACUUAGAGUCAUAUAAAAAAGCUAUGGCAGUACUUGGUCAUCCCUGGAAGUACGACACAAUUUGUGAAAUUAAUUUUAUGUGAUAAAUUAGAAGAUUUAAAUGACUUCAAUGUACAGUGUAUAAAAAGUACAUGUAUUGAUUGUGGAGAUUUGCAAAAAUUUCCGUUACAAAUUGAGAGUAUUGUUGUUUCAAUGCCAAUUUUGUGGAAGAGAUUUCAAUACGAGACAUCGAACUAAGUCAGGAGAUGAAUCCAAAAAAAUUGCAUUGAAGGAGAGUGAAUUGCCCUACCUUGAAUUUAUGAACAGAUUUUGUACUAUGAUUUAUCACAUAUCCAACAUUGUCAUGGUGCACGAUCGCAAGAUAAACAAUUUCGUGAUUGCAAAAAUUGUUUUCCACUUGGUUGUAUUCUUUCAAUUGUAGAUUUCUCCGAGAACUAUACAUUUGCCUCUCAAUCGCAGAUUCAAGCUCAAUAUUAUCAUUCUGAUCAAGUUGCAAUAUUUGUGCAAGUGACCUAUAAACAUGUGCAAUUUGAUGUAAAUGGGGUAGAAAAAUGUACUAAUCCAAAUGAACGCAUUAUCAUCAAGGAGGUUCAUUUCUAUAUCAACGAUGAUAAAGUUCAUGAUAGGAGCUAUGUAGCUCAUUGUUUUGCACUGUUUUUUUGAAGAUCUUGCAAAUCGCGGGAUAAAUGUUUCACAACACUAGAUUUGGUCGGAUGGUUGUGCAGGUGAGUACAUAAGUUUCAAUUCAUUUUCAUUUAUAUGUAAAUUUGUAUUUGAUUUCAAUUUGAUAAAUUUUAUUUUAAAUGUUCAAUUGUACAUGUACAUGACAUACAACUUUAUGGAGCAGGAUAAUUUAAAUUUGCAAAAGCCUUUAAUUGGCUAUCCAUGCAACAUGCUAGACACAAUGUUAAGUUUCUGUGGAACUUCUUUGAAAGUGGGCAUGGAAAAGGAGAGCACGAUGGAGCAGGAGCAUGUGUGAAGCGUGCACUUCGCCAACAUGAACUUGCAGGUAAUAGCAUAGAGAAUGCAAACAAUAUUGUUGAAUGACGUCAAAGUCAUUUUGCUUGUCAGAACACGCCAUACAACAAACAUUAUUUUUGGGAAGUGAAACGUAAAAUAUUUUUGUUCUCAAGAAUUCUUAAAAAAAUUCAUCAGCUCUGCAUUUCACUUUUAUCCUAAAGUAGUUGAUCUUAAAAUGUGCAAAUUUCAUUUCAUAUUUGUAAUAGGUAUUGAUCGAUCUAACCCUUACAAUUGUCAAACAAUUGUUGGUAUUAGAAUUUUACAUCAAGUGAUGACUACAGGACACCACAAGCCUCCAUUGAUUCAAGUAAGAGAAAAAUCAUGCUUUUGUGUUGACUGUGUUGAGCACUAUCCAAUGAGUCAAUGCGAGAAUAUUGCAAAUGGAUAUGUCUCACAGUGGGAUAUGAAAGAGUUAAUCAAAAUGCCUCCUUAUGAAGAUGAUGAAAAUGACAUAGACAUUCAUGAUCCUAUAUAUUCAACUGAUUAUGAACGUGUUUCUGAUUUAGUCGUUUCAGGUGAUAUUUUUGCUAUGGUUGUGGAUCCUGACAAUGUGGAAGGUGUAGAUUAUUAUCUACUAAGAUGCACGAAAGCAAAAUUCAAAUUGCCUAAAGUAACUAUAGACAGUGAUGAACAAUCAUAUCCAACUGGUUCAGUUCUUAUAGAAGGAACCUAUUAUUAACAAACUAAGAUAGACAAAAAUCGUAUUCAAUUUAUUGAAUACAUGCCUAGAAAAACAGUUGUACAUUACAAUCACUUGGUUAUAGCGACAAAGCUGCAAUUUGAGACAUUGCCAAAAAAAGGACGUGGCAACCAAAAGUGGAUGUUACCUUUUGAAAAGCAUGGAAUUUUUUUGGAGAUAAUAAAAGAUAGAGAGGAUCUAGACUAUACGUAUCGGGAGCUAACUUAGGCUAUCUAACUUGUUUUUGUAGCUCAUACUUUUAUAUUUGAACUAGAGUUUGAACUCAUGUUUAAUUUGAACU
This is a long non-coding RNA of Cryptomeria japonica (Japanese cedar), 3063 nucleotides long. RefSeq lists it as uncharacterized. NCBI's taxonomy places the organism in Eukaryota, Viridiplantae, Streptophyta, Pinopsida, Cupressales, Cupressaceae. The record is from RefSeq and is a predicted model, not a curated record. The transcript is spliced from 3 exons.